Molecule: ribosomal RNA, 253 nt
Filed under: uncultured bacterium
Lineage: Bacteria
Description: partial 16S ribosomal RNA
Rfam family: Bacterial small subunit ribosomal RNA
Source: RNAcentral
UACGGAGGGUGCGAGCGUUGUUCGGAAUCACUGGGCGUAAAGCGCGUGUAGGCGGCCCAUUAAGUCUGAUGUGAAAGCCCGGGGCUCACCCCCGGAAGUGCAUUGGAAACUGAUGGACUCGAGUCCCGGAGAGGAGAGUGGAAUUCUUGGUGUAGCGGUGAAAUGCGUAGAUAUCAGGAGGAACACCGGUGGCGAAGGCGGCUCUCUGGACGGUGACUGACGCUGAGACGCGAAAGCGUGGGGAGCAAACAGG